UACGGGGGGGGCAAGCGUUGUUCGGAAUUACUGGGCGUAAAGGGCGCGUAGGCGGCUCUUCAAGUCAGCCGUGAAAUCUCUAGGCUUAACCUAGAAAAGUCGGUUGAUACUGUCGAGCUAGAGUGUGGAAGAGGCAACUGGAAUUCCGUGUGUAGCGGUGAAAUGCGUAGAUAUACGGAGGAACACCUGCGGCGAAGGCGGGUUGCUGGGCCAACACUGACGCUGAAGUGCGAAAGCUAGGGUAGCAAACGGG
RNAcentral lists this ribosomal RNA (253 nucleotides) under uncultured Acidobacteriota bacterium. RNAcentral describes it as "uncultured Acidobacteria bacterium partial 16S ribosomal RNA". It matches the Rfam family "Bacterial small subunit ribosomal RNA", at positions 524 to 776 of the family's 1533-position model. The record is from RNAcentral. Lineage: Bacteria; Pseudomonadati; Acidobacteriota.